AGAUCACAAGGAAAGGAACGGUAGGGCGCGCGUGGAAAAGCUGCACGUUGCGGGGAGGACUCACGGAGUAAGGCUGCUGUCUGCUUUGGUCGGCAAAGCUUCUUUUUGCUGUGGGUAGUGACUACUGCAGAGACUCAUACAUGAUCCAGAUGCUGAAGGUGUCUACCCUCCAGAAAGAGAAUGUUGGGAAGCCUUCUGGGUUAAAGAAGGAAGGAUGAAAGAUGGUCCCUUACACAUAGGACAAACAAGACAAGCAAGAUUUCUCUAAUCACAAAUCAUUUACAUGAUUAUGACUACAUGAUUAAGGCUUGGUAUCCAAAACAUGUCAAGAACCCUGGAACUCAACGAUAGAAUCCUUGCCCCAAAUUCAUGAGGACCUGGGUUUGCUCUCCAGCACUGCAGGAACUCUUCCAAGUCAAUAAUAAAUUGACUAAUUGC
Microtus oregoni (creeping vole) is the source of this 438-nucleotide long non-coding RNA. RefSeq lists it as uncharacterized. The record is from RefSeq and is a predicted model, not a curated record. Lineage: Eukaryota; Metazoa; Chordata; Mammalia; Rodentia; Cricetidae. The transcript is spliced from 3 exons.